Molecule: non-coding RNA, 505 nt
Organism: Styela clava
Lineage: Eukaryota; Metazoa; Chordata; Ascidiacea; Stolidobranchia; Styelidae
Source: RefSeq, a predicted model, not a curated record
GAUUAACUCAAUGUUUUGGGCAUAUAUUGGAUUAUAUUAAAUUAAUGACAUCGUGGUAAUGGUAAUUCGAAUAUAAAAGCAGCUCUCCAAAUACUCAAACAUUGAUUUACUUAAUAUAGAAGUCAAGAAAGAUGAGGACAGUGUGAAGGGGAGGCGGACAACUCGGCUACAGAGAGACCUGAUAUUCCUAACUAUGGAAAAUUUUACCGAAAUCAUAGACUCCACCGAAAACGUAUUUCCCUGCCUUAUCUGUGAUGAAAACUUUCCAUCAGGGCCCAGUUUGGAAAAGCAUAUGUUUUUGCACAUUAAUGAUGGAACUGGAGAUUUAUGCGAAUAUGCAACCAACAACAUUGUGGGAAAUAGUCAGCUUACCAACUCUUGAGAAGCGUUACGGAAAAGACAUUAUCAGUAAAACUUCUUUACAAAGAGGUGGCGAAGAAAAAUGUCGAGAAAGUGGUUUGAGUGAUGAAGCUGAAACUGGAAAAUCAGUUGUGUGCGAUUGAAU